AUGUUAUCACGGGAGACACACGGCGGGUGCUAACGUCCGUCGUGAAGAGGGAAACAACCCAGACCGCCAGCUAAGGUCCCAAAGUCAUGGUUAAGUGGGAAACGAUGUGGGAAGGCCCAGACAGCCAGGAUGUUGGCUUAGAAGCAGCCAUCAUUUAAAGAAAGCGUAAUAGCUCACUGGUCGAGUCGGCCUGCGCGGAAGAUGUAACGGGGCUAAACCAUGCACCGAAGCUGCGGCAGCGACGCUGAUGCGUUGUUGGGUAGGGGAGCGUUCUGUAAGCCUGUGAAGGUGUGCUGUGAGGCAUGCUGGAGGUAUCAGAAGUGCGAAUGCUGACAUAAGUAACGAUAAAGCGGGUGAAAAGCCCGCUCGCCGGAAGACCAAGGGUUCCUGUCCAACGUUAAUCGGGGCAGGGUGAGUCGACCCCUAAGGCGAGGCCGAAAGGCGUAGUCGAUGGGAAACAGGUUAAUAUUCCUGUACUUGGUGUUACUGCGAAGGGGGGACGGAGAAGGCUAUGUUGGCCGGGCGACGGUUGUCCCGGUUUAAGCGUGUAGGCUGGU
Molecule: ribosomal RNA, 557 nt
Filed under: Escherichia coli
Lineage: Bacteria; Pseudomonadati; Pseudomonadota; Gammaproteobacteria; Enterobacterales; Enterobacteriaceae
Description: partial 23S ribosomal RNA
Rfam family: Bacterial large subunit ribosomal RNA
Source: RNAcentral